UUAACUAUUAUAUAGUACUCAGACGACAUUCAAAUAAAAGAGUUUGGGUCCUCUGGCAGGCGCUGUCCAGCCUAGGCCGGUAGACGAAAUGUCUGGCCUGCCAAAGCAACAUAGGUAAUGUUAACAAAGGGUGGGAGAUCUACCCCGAAGGGCAAGUUCUCUGUAAUGAUCCUUCCGCAGGUUCACCUACGGAAA
This 195-nucleotide unclassified non-coding RNA is filed under the name uncultured fungus. RNAcentral's name for it is "sequence contains ITS1". The record is from RNAcentral. Lineage: Eukaryota; Fungi.